Molecule: long non-coding RNA, 714 nt
Filed under: Homo sapiens (human)
Lineage: Eukaryota; Metazoa; Chordata; Mammalia; Primates; Hominidae
Description: HSALNT0379832
Source: RNAcentral
UCGGUGUACCCGGAGGGGGAGGAUGAGCCAUCGGUGUCCCCGGAGCUGGUGGGUCUUUUCCUCGGACAGCUGCUGGGCCUUUUCCUCCAGAGAGAAGAGAAUGCCUACGUGGCUGUUCAGAGGCUCCCUCCCUGCUGAAUGCUGAAUAGGAAUCCCCAAAUGCAGACCAGUCAGACUCCACAUGGAUGACUUUUCACAGGGGAGUGACAGGAACCCAUCCAUGUUUUAGAAAAAUCACUGUACUGCAGUGUGGAGUGGGAGCAGACCACUGGAAACAUGGAAGGCUGUUGGCAGCCUACGGCAGGAGUCCAGAGUGACAAAACGUGCCACCAGGGGGCAGAUGAGGACGAUGAAGGGUACACCCCACUCCUUCCCAGGUACCCUUAGCCAGGGGUCCUCAAAUUUGGUAAUUUAUGGACCCAAGAGAAGGGAAGGGAGAACUGAAGUAUUGUGAUGGGAGUAGGAAAAUUGCGGAACUAGGAGCAGACGGGAGCCUGUUUUGCUCACCUUGGUAUCCCCAGCUCGCAUUGAGUGGUCACUAAGGAGCUACAAAAUGAAAUGGAAAAGUGUAACUUACUUUGCACAAUUCUGUGGUAGCUGAGAUCUUCUGCAAAGCAAAACACGCAUGAGUUGCAGUCAACACACUAUUGCGCAAAAUGAGGACUACCUGCAUUAUAUAUAUGUGUGUGUUUAAUUUUAAUUAUAUAAAUAUUU